Molecule: ribosomal RNA, 216 nt
Filed under: Methanomassiliicoccales archaeon
Lineage: Archaea; Methanobacteriati; Thermoplasmatota; Thermoplasmata; Methanomassiliicoccales
Description: partial 23S ribosomal RNA
Rfam family: Archaeal large subunit ribosomal RNA
Source: RNAcentral
GUUCGCGGCCUCUAGUUAACCAGUUGUCCGGCAGGGCAUAGCUGGGCAGCCACGCCGUCGUGGGUAAGAGCUGAAAGCAUCUAAGCUCGAAACCACCUCGAAAAAGAGGCACCUUACAACACUCGUAAAUGACGAGUUUGAUAGGACCGGGAUGUACGUACCAAGGUUCGCCGAGGUACUCAGUCCGCGGUCACUAACGUUGUUACGGCCGCAUAA